This 443-nucleotide ribosomal RNA is filed under the name uncultured bacterium. RNAcentral's name for it is "partial 16S ribosomal RNA". It matches the Rfam family "Bacterial small subunit ribosomal RNA", at positions 338 to 795 of the family's 1533-position model. The record is from RNAcentral.
CCUACGGGAGGCAGCAGUGGGGAAUAUUGGACAAUGGGCGGAAGCCUGAUCCAGCGACGCCGCGUGAGGGAAGAAGGCUUUCGGUAUGUAAAGCUCUUUUUGCAGGGAAGAAAAAAAUGACGGUACCUGACGAAUAAGCCUCGCCGAACGACGUGCCAGCAUCCGCGGUAAUCCGGCGGGGGCAAGCGUUAUCCGGAUUUACUGGGUGUAAAGGGAGCGUAGGCGGUAAGGCAAGUCAGGUGUGAAAGCCAGGGGCCCAACCGCGGGACUGCAUUUGAAACUGUGGGACUUGAGUGCAGGAGAGGUAGGCGGAAUUCCUAGUGUAGCGGUGAAAUGCGUAGAUAUUAGGAGGAACACCAGUGGCGAAGGCGGCCUACUGGACUGGAACUGACGUUGAGGCUCGAAAGCGUGGGGAGCAAACAGGAUUAGAUACCCUUGUAGUC